Molecule: ribosomal RNA, 293 nt
Filed under: uncultured eukaryote
Lineage: Eukaryota
Description: partial 18S ribosomal RNA
Rfam family: Eukaryotic small subunit ribosomal RNA
Source: RNAcentral
GGUUGAUCCUGCCAGUAGUCAUAUGCUUGUCUCAAAGAUUAAGCCAUGCAUGUCCAAGUAUAAACGAAAUCGUACUGUGAAACUGCGAAUGGCUCAUUAAAUCAGUUAUAGUUUAUUUGAUGAUGACUUGCUACAUGGAUAACUGUGGUAAUUCUAGAGCUAAUACAUGCAACAAAGCCCCGACUUCCGGAAGGGGCGUAUUUAUUAGAUAAAAAACCAACGCGGCUCGCCGCUCUCUUGGUGAUUCAUAAUAACUGCUCGAAUCGCAUGGCCUCGUGCCGGCGAUGCAUCAU